GCGUGAGUGAUGAAGGCCCUAGGGUUGUAAAACUCUUUCGCACGCGACGAUAAUGACGGUAGCGUGAGAAGAAGCUCCGGCUAACUUCGUGCCAGCAGCCGCGGUAAUACGAAGGGGGCUAGCGUUGUUCGGAAUUACUGGGCGUAAAGCGCGCGCAGGCGGUCCAUCAAGUCAGGGGUGAAAGCCCGGAGCUCAACUCCGGAAUGGCCUCUGAAACUGAUGAACUUGAGUACGGGAGAGGUGAGUGGAAUUCCGAGUGUAGAGGUGAAAUUCGU
This 275-nucleotide ribosomal RNA is filed under the name uncultured bacterium. Its description in RNAcentral is "partial 16S ribosomal RNA". It matches the Rfam family "Bacterial small subunit ribosomal RNA", at positions 399 to 691 of the family's 1533-position model. The record is from RNAcentral.